UACGGAGGGUGCGAGCGUUAUCCGGAAUCACUGGGUUUAAAGGGUGCGUAGGCGGUCUGAUAAGUCAGUUGUGAAAUUCCUCGGCUUAACCGAGUGGACUGCGAUUGAUACUGUCAGACUUGAAUCAGGUUGAGGUAGGCGGAAUGUGACAUGUAGCGGUGAAAUGCUUAGAUAUGUCAUAGAACACCGAUUGCGAAGGCAGCUUGCUGGGCUUAGAUUGACGCUGAGGCACGAAAGCGUGGGGAGCAAACAGG
RNAcentral lists this ribosomal RNA (254 nucleotides) under uncultured bacterium. RNAcentral's name for it is "partial 16S ribosomal RNA". It matches the Rfam family "Bacterial small subunit ribosomal RNA", at positions 524 to 776 of the family's 1533-position model. The record is from RNAcentral. RNAcentral also lists the same sequence under 1 other name.